GGGUAUUUAUUUUUCAUUUUUCUUUCAUUAUUCUUAAAUUUUAAUAUUUAUUUAUUUAUUUUAACAAUUAAAAAAAUAAAAAAGGUCCCACCUCCCUCUCUCUCUCUCUCUCUCUCUCUCCAUUUGAAGAAAGAAAGCACCGGUUCUUCCCCCUUUUCGCAUUUUCCAUGUUCUUCCCCCUUCUUGCUACUGAUCGGAGGAAACAACCACCACCAUCUUAACCCACUUAAUUUUUCGAACACCUCCUCCACCUCCCCAUGUCGUGACCCACCACCAGCAAACACCCUUCCCAAAUACCUCCGGACCAUAACCUUGCUCCUCCCAGCCCUCUCUCUCGUUGAGCUCUUCUGAAAAGAAAGGAAACAAAGGAAAAACCUCAUUAAUCGGCAUAAGGUACAAUAAGCUUUUCUCGAUUUUCUUGAUACAAAUCUUUCAAAUUACUCGUUGUUAUUGGAACUGAUCUUAAGAACCCCAAAUAGAGAUAUAUUUAGAUGUUCGAUUUCAAAUUUUGUGGUCUAAAUUUCAAAUCUUGAAUCAGGGACAGGAGACAUCGGAUCAAGAAAACACCUGAUUAUUUCUGUUCUUUCAAAUUACUCGUUGUGAUUGUUGGCAAAACCCACCAAACGCCUCCAUCUUGUCGUAACCCAGCACCACCAAACGCCAUCGUCGUUUCUGCUUCGUCUUGGUCCCUCGUCGAGCAUCCACC
Molecule: long non-coding RNA, 706 nt
Filed under: Lactuca sativa (garden lettuce)
Lineage: Eukaryota; Viridiplantae; Streptophyta; Magnoliopsida; Asterales; Asteraceae
Description: long non-coding RNA (LSAT_LNC005878)
Source: RNAcentral